Molecule: ribosomal RNA, 253 nt
Filed under: uncultured Lachnospiraceae bacterium
Lineage: Bacteria; Bacillati; Bacillota; Clostridia; Lachnospirales; Lachnospiraceae
Description: partial 16S ribosomal RNA
Rfam family: Bacterial small subunit ribosomal RNA
Source: RNAcentral
UACGUAGGGGGCAAGCGUUAUCCGGAUUUACUGGGUGUAAAGGGAGCGUAGACGGCCAGACAAGUCUGAAGUGAAAAUCCAGCGCUUAACGUUGGAAGUGCUUUGGAAACUGCCGGGCUGGAGUGCAGGAGGGGCAGGCGGAAUUCCUAGUGUAGCGGUGAAAUGCGUAGAUAUUAGGAAGAACACCAGUGGCGAAGGCGGCUUUCUGGACUGAAACUGACGCUGAGGCACGAAAGCGUGGGGAGCGAACAGG